UACGAGGGGGGCGAGCGUUGUUCGGAAUUAUUGGGCGUAAAGGGUGCGUAGGCGGUUUGGUAAGUCUUGUGUGAAAUCUUCGGGCUCAACUCGAAGUCUGCACGAGAAACUGCCGGGCUUGAGUAUGGGAGAGGGUGAGUGGAAUUCCCGGGUGUAGCGGUGAAAUGCGUAGAUAUCGGGAGGAACACCUGUGGCGAAAGCGGCUCACUGGACCAUAACUGACGCUGAGGCACGAAAGCUAGGGGAGCAAACAGG
RNAcentral lists this ribosomal RNA (255 nucleotides) under uncultured bacterium. RNAcentral's name for it is "partial 16S ribosomal RNA". It matches the Rfam family "Bacterial small subunit ribosomal RNA", at positions 524 to 776 of the family's 1533-position model. The record is from RNAcentral.